RNAcentral lists this ribosomal RNA (383 nucleotides) under uncultured Verrucomicrobiota bacterium. RNAcentral describes it as "bacterial SSU rRNA". It matches the Rfam family "Bacterial small subunit ribosomal RNA", at positions 973 to 1359 of the family's 1533-position model. Lineage: Bacteria; Pseudomonadati; Verrucomicrobiota. The record is from RNAcentral.
UCCUGGCCUUGACAUGCUUAGUUCAGGCGUGGAAACACGCUGGCCCGCAAGGGCGAUUUGCACAGGUGCUGCAUGGCUGUCGUCAGCUCGUGUCGUGAGAUGUUGGGUUAAGUCCCGCAACGAGCGCAACCCUCGUGGUUAGUUAUUCCCGGGCAACCGGAAUCUGACCAGACUGCCCUGUGAAACGGGGAGGAAGGUGGGGACGACGUCAAGUCCGUAUGGCCCUUACGGCCAGGGCUGCACACGUACUACAAUGCCCAAUACAGAGGGACGCAAGACCGCAAGGUGGAGCUAAUCCCGUAAAGUUGGGCCCAGUUCGGAUUGGAGGCUGCAACUCGCCUCCAUGAAGUUGGAAUCGCUAGUAAUGGCGCAUCAGUACGGCG